GUCACUGUGGCGCAACUGGUUAGCGCAUUAGACUGUUAAUCUAAAGGUUGGUGGUUCGAGCUCACCCAGGGUCGAGAUU
Coregonus clupeaformis (lake whitefish) is the source of this 79-nucleotide non-coding RNA. Lineage: Eukaryota; Metazoa; Chordata; Actinopteri; Salmoniformes; Salmonidae. The record is from the annotation of a RefSeq genome assembly.